UACGAAGGGGGCUAGCGUUGCUCGGAAUCACUGGGCGUAAAGCGCACGUAGGCGGAUUGCUAAGUCAGGGGUGAAAUCCUGGAGCUCAACUCCAGAACUGCCUUUGAUACUGGCAACCUUGAGUCCGGGAGAGGUGAGUGGAACUGCGAGUGUAGAGGUGAAAUUCGUAGAUAUUCGCAAAGAACACCAGUGGCGAAGGCGGCUCACUGGCCCGGUACUGACGCUGAGGUGCGAA
RNAcentral lists this ribosomal RNA (235 nucleotides) under uncultured bacterium. RNAcentral describes it as "partial 16S ribosomal RNA". It matches the Rfam family "Bacterial small subunit ribosomal RNA", at positions 524 to 757 of the family's 1533-position model. The record is from RNAcentral.